RNAcentral lists this ribosomal RNA (465 nucleotides) under uncultured bacterium. RNAcentral's name for it is "partial 16S ribosomal RNA". It matches the Rfam family "Bacterial small subunit ribosomal RNA", at positions 28 to 507 of the family's 1533-position model. The record is from RNAcentral.
GACGAACGCUGGCGGCGUGCUUAACACAUGCAAGUCGAACGGAAAGGCCCCCUUGUGGGGUACUCGAGUGGCGAACGGGUGAGUAACACGUGAGUAACCUACCCUUGACUUUGGGAUAACUUCAGGAAACUGGGGCUAAUACCGGAUAGGAGCUCCUGCUGCAUGGUGGGGGUUGGAAAGUUUCGGCGGUUGGGGAUGGACUCGCGGCUUAUCAGCUUGUUGGUGGGGUAGAGGCUCACCAAGGCUUUGACGGGUAGCCGGCCUGAGAGGGUGACCGGCCACAGUGGGACUGAGAUACGGCCCAGACUCCUACGGGAGGCAGCAGUGGGGAAUAUUGCACAAUGGGCGGAAGCCUGAUGCAGCAACGCCGCGUGCGGGAUGACGGCCUUCGGGUUGUAAACCGCUUUCGCCUGUGACGAAGCGUGAGUGACGGUAAUGGGUAAAGAAGCACCGGCUAACUACGUG